GAUGAACGCUGGCGGCGUGCCUAAUACAUGCAAGUCGAGCGAACAGACGAGGAGCUUGCUCCUCUGACGUUAGCGGCGGACGGGUGAGUAACACGUGGAUAACCUACCUAUAAGACUGGGAUAACUUCGGGAAACCGGAGCUAAUACCGGAUAAUAUAUUGAACCGCAUGGUUCAAUAGUGAAAGACGGUUUUGCUGUCACUUAUAGAUGGAUCCGCGCCGCAUUAGCUAGUUGGUAAGGUAACGGCUUACCAAGGCGACGAUGGGUAGCCGACCUGAGAGGGUGAUCGCCCCCACUGGAACUGAGAUACGGUCCAGACUCCUACGGGAGGCACCAGAAGGGAAUCUUCCGCCAUGAGCGAAAGCCUGACGGAGCAACGCCGAGGUGGUGAUGACAAACUUCGGAUCGUAAAACUCUGUUAGUAGGGGAGAACAAAUGUGUAAGUAACUAUGCACGUCUUGACGGUACCUAAUCAGAAAGGCACGGCUAACUACGUG
Molecule: ribosomal RNA, 497 nt
Filed under: uncultured bacterium
Lineage: Bacteria
Description: partial 16S ribosomal RNA
Rfam family: Bacterial small subunit ribosomal RNA
Source: RNAcentral